GGGCGCUGAUUUUGCAUGGACUUGUUCACAUUAAUAGCCAUUUUACAAUUAUCCUCUGAAGUCGAACAGUUUUUUUCCAAGGUCGGUACAGCGUAUGGAAUCAAGUUUUUUCUGAUGUAGGAAACAAAACCCACCGGAAAUUUAGAUAGAAGAUUGCUAACAAAUGAUGGAUUUGCAGAUUUCAUUUAUUAAUUUGCACCAGUACAUGCUGGAUGCAUUAAUUGUUAAUUACACCAUUCAAAUCUAUGGUGGGCAGCAGCACAUAUAGGUCUCCUGAGCAUUUGUAGGUGUUUUACAGAAUGCCCUAUAGGUUCUGAUUCCGUUAUACUGGCAAACAAACACGCAGCUGCGGCCGUCCUUACAGCGGUGAGUCGGAGGCUCGAAGCAAGGUGGCCCACGCGAAGACAAGCCUGCACAUGCAACAAUACAACGGAAUGCAAAUAUAUUCGCAUUAAAACAAGACUGGUUGGUAAAAUAAUAAAUGAUCAUAUGAAAAUGUCUAAAAAUAUGGCAGUGCACAGCAUAUCAAAGUAUGAAGGUAUGGGUGCCUACCGGCUUGACAGUGUAUAGAGUUGGAAGUACUCAUCACAAGAACCACCAACGAAGUAGCCAUCAAGUAGUGCACAAUCCUUGCCAUGCUGCUGUUGUUUCCUUUAGUUUUGGCAAGGCAGAGAAGACGUGAUGAUCGAUGUAUUGCUUGUUGCCUAAUCUAUUUCAGUGUGUUUAGGUACAUUUAUAGAGGAACC
This 746-nucleotide long non-coding RNA is filed under the name Zea mays. RNAcentral's name for it is "long non-coding RNA (ZMAY_LNC000489)". Lineage: Eukaryota; Viridiplantae; Streptophyta; Magnoliopsida; Poales; Poaceae. The record is from RNAcentral.